RNAcentral lists this ribosomal RNA (409 nucleotides) under bacterium. RNAcentral's name for it is "partial 16S ribosomal RNA". It matches the Rfam family "Bacterial small subunit ribosomal RNA", at positions 355 to 776 of the family's 1533-position model. The record is from RNAcentral.
UGGGGAAUAUUGCACAAUGGGCGAAAGCCUGAUGCAGCGACGCCGCGUGAGGGAUGACGGCCUUCGGGUUGUAAACCUCUUUCAGCAGGGACGAAGCGCAAGUUACGGUACCUGCAGAAGAAGCACCGGCUAACUACGUGCCAGCAGCCGCGGUAAUACGUAGGGUGCAAGCGUUGUCCGGAAUUACUGGGCGUAAAGAGUUCGUAGGCGGUUUGUCGCGUCGUUUGUGAAAACCAGCAGCUCAACUGCUGGCUUGCAGGCGAUACGGGCAGACUUGAGUACUGCAGGGGAGACUGGAAUUCCUGGUGUAGCGGUGAAAUGCGCAGAUCUCAGGAGGAACACCGGUGGCGAAGGCGGGUCUCUGGGCAGUAACUGACGCUGAGGAACGAAAGCGUGGGUAGCGAACAGG